GUCAGGCGUGGUGGUGCACGCCUGUAAUCCCAGCUACUUGGUAGGCUGAGGCAGGAGAAUCACUUGAACCUGGGAGGUGGGGGUUGCAGUGAGCUGAGAUCAUGCUACUGCACUCCAGCCUGGGCAACAGAGUGAGAUCCUGUCUCAA
Molecule: unclassified non-coding RNA, 148 nt
Organism: Pongo abelii (Sumatran orangutan)
Lineage: Eukaryota; Metazoa; Chordata; Mammalia; Primates; Hominidae
Rfam family: Metazoan signal recognition particle RNA
About the family: The signal recognition particle (SRP) is a universally conserved ribonucleoprotein.
Source: Ensembl